This 576-nucleotide ribosomal RNA is filed under the name uncultured bacterium. RNAcentral's name for it is "bacterial SSU rRNA". It matches the Rfam family "Bacterial small subunit ribosomal RNA", at positions 102 to 674 of the family's 1533-position model. The record is from RNAcentral.
ACGGGUGAGUAAUACAUCGGAACGUAUCCUGGAGUGGGGGAUAGCCCGGCGAAAGCCGGAUUAAUACCGCAUACGCUCUGAGGAGGAAAGCGGGGGACCUUCGGGCCUCGCGCUCAAGGGGCGGCCGAUGGCGGAUUAGGUAGUUGGUGGGGUAAAGGCCUACCAAGCCGACGAUCCGUAGCUGGUCUGAGAGGACGACCAGCCACACUGGGACUGAGACACGGCCCAGACUCCUACGGGAGGCAGCAGUGGGGAAUUUUGGACAAUGGGGGCAACCCUGAUCCAGCAAUGCCGCGUGUGUGAAGAAGGCCUUCGGGUUGUAAAGCACUUUUGUCCGGAAAGAAAUCAUCGGGGCCAAUACCCCUGGUGGAUGACGGUACCGGAAGAACAAGCACCGGCUAACUACGUACCAGCAGCCGCGGUAAUACGUAGGGUGCGAGCGUUAAUCGGAAUUACUGGGCGUAAAGCGUGCGCAGGCGGUGCUGUAAGACCGAUGUGAAAUCCCCGGGCUUAACCUGGGAACUGCAUUGGUGACUGCAGCGCUGGAGUAUGGCAGAGGGGGGUGGAAUUCCACGU